GGUUUCACCGUGUUUGCCAGGAUGGUCUCGAUCUCCUGACCUUGUGAUCCACCUGCCUCGGCCUCCCAAAGUGCUGGGAUUACAGCUGUGAGCCCCUGCGCCUGGCGAAUCCUUCUAUUUUCAACAUGUGUGAACAUAAGUCAUAUUAGAAGAAAAACCUCUUGGAUGGUAGAAAGCAAUCUUCAGCCUGAGACCCAUUCCUAGAGAUGAAGAAGAUGAAAAAGUAUUUGAGAAGAGUUGCUUUAGUCCUGGCUAAGAAGUGAUGAUCUCUUUAUAGCUUUAU
This is a long non-coding RNA of Symphalangus syndactylus (siamang), 283 nucleotides long. RefSeq lists it as uncharacterized. Lineage: Eukaryota; Metazoa; Chordata; Mammalia; Primates; Hylobatidae. The record is from RefSeq and is a predicted model, not a curated record.